Hyposmocoma kahamanoa is the source of this 348-nucleotide long non-coding RNA. RefSeq lists it as uncharacterized. Lineage: Eukaryota; Metazoa; Arthropoda; Insecta; Lepidoptera; Cosmopterigidae. The record is from RefSeq and is a predicted model, not a curated record. The transcript has 3 exons.
GGCGCGUAUCAACUAAAAUGGAAAUUAUACAACACAAACAACGAAUAGAACCAGUGUUAUUUUGGGUUCGAUAUCCGGAUACGCUAAAAGUCGGUCCUCACAGAAGCCCUCGUGCUCAAUGUUGUCGCCGCCGCUGUAGACAUCUCACCAAUAGAUAACACACAAGGUGUGCUUAUCCUAAAGCAAGAACAGUAGAAAUAAGCCCAAAUAAAAUUCACGAGAUUCAAAGAACUAUAGAGGUAAAAGCGUAUAGCACAGAACAAACACUUGCCUUUAUUUUAGUUAUUCCUUCGGUCUACCCUGAAAUGUACCAUUUAUUACAUUCCUAUUCCAUUCCCGAUAUAAAAA